GUUCCCUUCAAGUCUCAAGGACAGUGAUUCCUUUAAAUUACUGGUCUGAGAAGUGGAACUGGACCUGGUAACGAAUGUGAGAAGGAACCCUGGGACGCCAAGACCUCAUUUCUAGAGAAUAAGAUUGAACGAUGUCUCCACACCUCAGAUGUUUUUCUGAAGACAACUAGCAUUGCUGUGCCGUAUGUAUAGAUGCAUAACCUUGAACUGAGUGUGUUGGCCUGUGCAGCAGGCUUCCCUACUGAGCUGUAAACUCCUAACUCCAUUAUGGAAGGAGCCUGAGUAAUAAAAACUGCUUGUCAUGCAAAUUGCA
RNAcentral lists this long non-coding RNA (313 nucleotides) under Rattus norvegicus (Norway rat). RNAcentral describes it as "long non-coding RNA NONRATT013621". The record is from RNAcentral. Lineage: Eukaryota; Metazoa; Chordata; Mammalia; Rodentia; Muridae.